Molecule: ribosomal RNA, 349 nt
Filed under: uncultured Lachnospiraceae bacterium
Lineage: Bacteria; Bacillati; Bacillota; Clostridia; Lachnospirales; Lachnospiraceae
Description: bacterial SSU rRNA
Rfam family: Bacterial small subunit ribosomal RNA
Source: RNAcentral
UGGGGAAUAUUGCACAAUGGGGGAAACCCUGAUGCAGCGACGCCGCGUGAGCGAAGAAGUAUUUUCGGUAUGUAAAGCUCUAUCAGCAGGGAAGAAGAAAUGACGGUACCUGACUAAGAAGCUCCGGCUAAAUACGUGCCAGCAGCCGCGGUAAUACGUAUGGAGCAAGCGUUAUCCGGAUUUACUGGGUGUAAAGGGAGCGUAGGCGGCGAGAUAAGUCUGAUGUGAAAGCCCGGGGCUCAACCCCGGGACUGCAUUGGAAACUGUCUUGCUGGAGUGUCGGAGGGGUAAGUGGAAUUCCUAGUGUAGCGGUGAAAUGCGUAGAUAUUAGGAGGAACGACCGGUGGCG